CCAGAACGACUCUCGGCAACGGAUAUCUCGGCUCUCGCAUCGAUGAAGAACGUAGCGAAAUGCGAUACUUGGUGUGAAUUGCAGAAUCCCGUGAACCAUCGAGUCUUUGAACGCAAGUUGCGCCCGAAGCCAUCAGGCCGAGGGCACGCCUGCCUGGGCGU
Molecule: ribosomal RNA, 161 nt
Filed under: Oxera morierei
Lineage: Eukaryota; Viridiplantae; Streptophyta; Magnoliopsida; Lamiales; Lamiaceae
Description: 5.8S ribosomal RNA
Rfam family: 5.8S ribosomal RNA
About the family: 5.8S ribosomal RNA (5.8S rRNA) is a component of the large subunit of the eukaryotic ribosome. It is transcribed by RNA polymerase I as part of the 45S precursor that also contains 18S and 28S rRNA. Functionally, it is thought that 5.8S rRNA may be involved in ribosome translocation.
Source: RNAcentral